CUUAACUUCCGUAUUUACUAUACAAUACAUCAGAUGUUUGAGGCGUGCAUUCGGACUUUCCCUUUUUUCGGUAUUUAUGUUUAUUGCACUUCACAGUGACUCAUUCCAAUAUUUCCAGUUGGGUCUCAAACACCGAAGCUUUCUUGUGUAUCCGUUACUCACUUCAUUUUUAACACAGUUUUGUGAAAAUUUCUGCCAUUCAGAGUCGGGUUGUACUUAUUUACACUAGUUUUUUCAGAUAAGCUGGAAAGACCACCAUUAAUCACUGAAGAUACUCCCACUAAUUAUGAAGAACUUACGGUGAUUGUUUUUGAAAAUGAGGCGCCAUAAAAUAUUGCAAAGAUUUGAAACAAAUACAAAACACAUGUGCGAAACGAAAGAAAUGCUAAAGGAAACGAGUGAAAAAAUCUCUAACAUGAAAACGUCAUCAAAUCUGACAAUUGAAAAAGAAAACAAAAAUAGAAGUUAUGCCGCCAAGACCACACCUAAACAAAUUUUGACGAAUUACAAGAUUAUUUUUGCCUAUUAGAACAAGCAGAUUUCUUUGUAAGUUAAAAAAAUACAAUGAAUUCAUAUAUACAUAUAUAACAUAUAACAUUGGAUAUUAUAUACAGGUAGAUGCCUGUAACACCACGAUACUUUUUGGUAACUUACUAUACAUGGCACAUUUCGCUUCAUUGUAAAAAAUUAUUGACAACGAAAUUUUCCUGAUAGGGUAUGCGUUUUUGUCAAUGCAACCAUUUUACGAUUAUCCGUUAAAUUCAAGUAAAUUUAGCACUUUUAAAACGCAGAAUUUGUCUUCUGCUUUAAGCUGUAAUCCUUUAAAUUUAAUAAUAGCCAAAUGCUUGCUGUUGCCCAUAGACGAAAAAAUUAUUGCAUUUCCAUUAAUCCAUGUACUCUAACGGUUUUUUUUUUCAGUGCAAUAAAUUGAAGCAAACUUAAAAAACUUUGGUUAUUAAUAUGAUUGUUAAAACAGAAUUAAUUCUUAACGGUACUUUUUUGUGUGUUGGGGACAGUCAAGUCGUCGUGAAUUAGAAAGUUUUACAGUGCAUUUUCAAAUCAAGUAACUAUAACAAUGCGAUUCAA
Molecule: long non-coding RNA, 1086 nt
Organism: Zophobas morio
Lineage: Eukaryota; Metazoa; Arthropoda; Insecta; Coleoptera; Tenebrionidae
Exons: 3
Source: RefSeq, a predicted model, not a curated record